CCUACGGGAUGCUGCAGUGGGGAAUAUUGCACAAUGGGGGAACCCCUGAUGCAGCGACGCCGCGUGAGUGAAGAAGUAUCUCGGUACGUAAAGCUCUAUCAGCAGGGAAGAAAAUGACGGUACCUGACUAAGAAGCCCCGGCUAACUACGUGCCAGCAGCCGCGGUAAUACGUAGGGGGCAAGUGUUAUCCGGAUUUACUGGGUGUAAAGGGAGCGUAGACGGGAGCACAAGUCUGGAGUGAAAUCCCGGGGCUUAACCCCGGAACUGCUUUGGAAACUGUGCGGCUGGAGUGCCGGAGGGGUAAGCGGAAUUCCUAGUGUAGCGGUGAAAUGUGUAGAGAUUAGGAGGAAAACCGGUGGCGAAGGCGGCUUACUGGACUGUAACUGACGUUGAGGCUCGAAAGCGUGGGGAGCAAACAGGAUUAGAUACCCGAGUAGUC
RNAcentral lists this ribosomal RNA (440 nucleotides) under uncultured bacterium. RNAcentral describes it as "partial 16S ribosomal RNA". It matches the Rfam family "Bacterial small subunit ribosomal RNA", at positions 338 to 795 of the family's 1533-position model. The record is from RNAcentral.